Long non-coding RNA from Carassius gibelio (silver crucian carp), 1598 nucleotides. RefSeq lists it as uncharacterized. NCBI's taxonomy places the organism in Eukaryota, Metazoa, Chordata, Actinopteri, Cypriniformes, Cyprinidae. The record is from RefSeq and is a predicted model, not a curated record. The transcript has 6 exons.
AAGAGGUGAGAUGAGCUAAUCACAGACUGAAGACCCAGGUCUCUCUCUGCUCUGAUGGUGAUGUGCUGCAGUAUGAUGAAGACCAGCAGAAGAACACAAAUGAGCCCGAGACCCACUGCGAUCAACACCAAACAUCUACUUCCUCCUGACGAACAUGACCAAAACACACAAAUAUAAUUCAUUGCUCUUCAUGUUAUCAGAAAUAAAGCUUCAAAUCAACUUCUUCUGAUAAACCUGCUCUCUGCUGUACCCUGCUGGACUGGAGGAGAUCUCUCCAAACAGCGAUAGAGUGGUGGAACUGAAACAGCAAAAUCCCGGAGAUCCCUUUUUUUUUCUCUGAGCAUGGGCGAUCAUUCCAGUUCUCCAGGGCAGGAUCUGAAGACAAACCAAUCCACACUCUCUCCUUGACCAAUGAAGAUAUGUGUCUCUGUGUGAAUAGGAAUAACAUGGAAUCAGCUCCACGAUCCCUGCAGUACUGUCUGCUGUCAGACCAGCUCUUCCUCUCAUUGGACAGGAACAAGCCAUCUGGACCCCACCGAUAUCCUGAGAGAAACACAGAGUUUUAAAGCUGGAGUAGACAGUUUCUACACUACUAUGGCGGAAACGCAAAAAUACAUCUUUUUUUUUUUCAAACAACCUUUGCAAAUGCCUCUUUUGGGCAUCAUGCCAACUCAAACUGUGAACAUCUGUGAGUCAUCAACAGUGUUGGGUAUAGUUACUUUGGAAAGUAGUUAGUUAGGUUACAACGUUACCAUCAAUUAAAAGUAAUCAGUUAUGAUACAGCGUUACCUAUUCAUAAAAGUAACGCGUUAGAGUACUCAUGCGUUACCAAAAAUUAAAAGCCGUUUGCAGCGGCUCACACAUGACAGACACAGCCCCCGGCCCCUUUAAAUGCACCUAGAAGUCGUGACUCCCGACAAAGAAUAACGUCAGUCAUCCGACUAAAUUAACACUGCAGGAUAACAAUAACAGGAAAGACAGUCAGCAAUAGGCUAUUCCACAUGGCGUUUUAUUUAUUUAUUAUCACAGAACAUAUUAUUAAUCAAAAUUCGCACCUACCCAGCCCGGGUAGCCUAGGCUACUGUAUAUUAUGAGCACCACAAGAUAACUCCUGAUUUUCCUUUAACUUUACAUAAUGCAGUUAUCAAAGUACAAGUAUGCUUACUUGUAAACACAACCUUAAACAGGCUUGCAGAUUUAAAUCCAUUUAGAAAUGAUGAACAACCAGCCAGCCAAUGAUCUAACAGAAAUUAACAGCUGCCUGUCAAACAAAAAUGAUAACAAACCGAAUUAAAUCCUUCACUGCCACACAGGCAAAUGACAAAUCGCUUAAUAGCCGAACUAAUUAUUAUUAAAGUGUCACUCACAGUCACAAGCCUAAAUUCGCUUUAACACAGUCCUCUUACAUUUACUCUUCAAAGUAGUGAUUAAAACGUAGCGUUAAAUUUGAGGUAGAAUUUUUGGCGGUCGACAGAAGCUUUUCACCAAAGCAGAGUGUGCAUUUUACCGUUAUGUUCUUUUCUUUUUCGUUGACAAAUUGAAAAUAAUGUGCGUACUUCCAUAAACCAAACGCUGUCCUCUCUGCUAUCUUGCCGGGA